This is a long non-coding RNA of Betta splendens (Siamese fighting fish), 1695 nucleotides long. RefSeq lists it as uncharacterized. The record is from RefSeq and is a predicted model, not a curated record. Lineage: Eukaryota; Metazoa; Chordata; Actinopteri; Anabantiformes; Osphronemidae. The transcript is spliced from 10 exons.
AGUUUAAACUUUUUGCGCGCACUAAUACACGCGCGCAUGCACACGCAAUUGCGCAAGUGCAGGACAGAGCGCGUGAAAAUAUGCGGCGGCAACUGUCGAAAACAUAUCCGCGUUUAAUGCACGCUAACAGGUGCCCCAACACCUGACGGAGACCUUGUUAGACCGGGCGACGUCUGAGCCGGUAUCUCAUGUGGUUCAUUGUCUCUCAUGAUAUGAGAGAUGACAGGGGGAAGAGGGAAACUAGGAGAUGUGGUGGAACAGUGAGAGGUGGAAGGCGGGUCAGGCACCUGUUGAGAGAGAGGCUGAAGGGGAGACGAGGAGAGGCUGUGGGAGCAAAGCGUUUCUUGGUUUCUCUGUUCUUCUUGGCUGUCUGAGCCAAACAUAAAGAUGUUGGACACUCCUAAACAACAUACAAAUGACAAUGACACACAUUUGCUGCCUCAAGGUACCUUGCAGUGUUUGCAGUAGCAGCAGGAGUAAUGGAGGUCUUUGCAGGGCUCGUCACCUCUGAGUCCUCAUCUUCAUUCUCACUGGAGAACACGCGGGCAUAUCUACAGAAGCACUUAGUUCAGAGUUUAAUAUUGCAAUGAUUAAAGUACAGCACAGAAAAUGUUUGUUGUAGGUUUUAAGGUAAAGUAAAUACACAAUCUUACAGUGCAUGUUUAUGAUCAUCUUUGUUGUAGCUACGCUGCUCCCAGUUGCUGUGUCUUCUUCUACUUCUGUAAGCACCUCUCAGUCUCUUUGCUGAGGUGGUGUCACCUGAGAGAUACACAUCAAUGAUCACUAGAACACCCUCCUGCCAUUGCUGGUUCCAGAAAGGAUGAGAAAAAGUCAUCAUUCUUUGACAGAAAUUCCUAAUGGGGUGAACUAACCUCCAAUGAGCAUGACGCUGAUGGAGAAAAUCUUCUCAGAGUUGGUGUUUGGUGAGACGUUGCCAAAGCCUACGCUGGUCAAACUGCUGAAGGGCUUCCCCAGCUGAUCACCCAGAGCGUCCAACCAGCCAAUCCCAGCAGACGUUGACCGCUCCACGCUACCUAUGGCAUACCUAGGGCCAACCAGUGGGCAAUGAGAGCGAAAGUGCACAUCAGGAGGAAGAGGACAGCUGUGCCAUACUCGGAGUAGCGGUCUAACUUCCUGGCCACGCGAACCAGUCGCAGUAAUCGAGCUGUCUUCAAUGAGGAGGUCAAAGGGAAUGGCCGCCACCAAGUCGAUAAGGAACCACCCUUUGAAGUAGUGAACUGCAAUCCGAGUAGACUGGCUGACCACCUUGACAGACAACACAAAGCAAUAAGUGUCAUGUGACAUCACGUAUCAUUGGACUCAAAGUUUGGUGUCUGUGAUGGGCAGCUGCGGAUCCAACCAUCCUGCCUGCAUCCAGUCCCUGGUCCUACCAUCCUGCCUGUGCUCUGUUGUUGCUUGUUGUUGCUUGUUGCUGUUGCUGUGCUUUUCUAUCUCUCUAUCCUCUCACCCCAACCGGUCGAGGCAGAUGGCCGCCCACAUCCAGUCUGGUUCUGCUGGAGGUUUCUUCCUCGUUAGAGAGGGAGUUUUUCCUCUCCACUGUUGCUGUCAAAUUAAAUGCUUGCUGUAUGUGGGAUUUGUUGGGUUUAGUUGUGUGAGGUUUUAAACCUUACUUUGUAAAGUGCCUUGAAAUAACUUUGUUGUGAUUUGGCGCUAUAUAAAUAAAAUUGAAUUGAA